CAAUCAAAAUAUCCAUUCAAUGCAGCCAUGUGAAGAGCAGUGAUACCACCAUCAGCUGCCUUAUUGACAAACUUGGACAACGCACUCUGGUCAAAUUUGUUCUUCAUGCUGGAAGCAUCCCCAGUGUCAGCUUCUGUCUGAGAAUGCAUAGCUUCAAAAGGAGCGCUAGGAACAAAGUCAGCAACAACUAGUCUNNNNUAUACAUCUUGCAUGGCCAUUUACAGCUGCAAAAUGCAGAGCAGUCCUUCCGCUGAGGUAAUCCGCUCGUGUAACAUUGCAUCUAAAGAGAAGAAGAGUCUGUACAACUUCCCAGUGUCCAUACCGACAAGCUUGCAUUAAUGCCGUCUGGCCGCAGUAAUUCCUUGAAUUCACGUCAGCUCCAUUCUCAAGCAACAA
Molecule: unclassified non-coding RNA, 396 nt
Filed under: Hevea brasiliensis (rubber tree)
Lineage: Eukaryota; Viridiplantae; Streptophyta; Magnoliopsida; Malpighiales; Euphorbiaceae
Source: RNAcentral